Molecule: ribosomal RNA, 331 nt
Filed under: uncultured bacterium
Lineage: Bacteria
Description: bacterial SSU rRNA
Rfam family: Bacterial small subunit ribosomal RNA
Source: RNAcentral
GACGUAACGCUGGCGGCGUGCCUAACACGAUGCAAGUCGAACGGGGCUCGUUUGGAGUCGAAGGACUUCGGUCAAGUGAAUCUGAACUUAGUGGCGGACGGGUGAGUAACGCGUGAGCAACCUGCCUUUCAGAGGGGGAUAACAUUUGGAAACAGAUGUUAAUACCGCAUAAGAUUACAGUACCGCAUGAUACAGUGAUCAAAGGAGCAAUCCGCUGAAAGAUGGGCUCGCGUCCGAUUAGAUAGUUGGUGAGGUAACGGCUCACCAAGUCGACGAUCGGUAGCCGGACUGAGAGGUUGAACGGCCACAUUGGGACUGAGACACGGCCCAG